UAAGGAAUAUUCCACAAUGGGCGAAAGCCUGAUGGAGCGACGCCGCGUGAGGGAAGAAGGCCUUCGGGUUGUAAACCUCUUUUCUCAGGGAUGACACACCCCCUCAUACGGGGCUAGGACAGUACCUGAGGAAUAAGCAUCGGCUAACUACGUGCCAGCAGCCGCGGUAAUACGUAGGAUGCUAGCGUUGUCCGGAUUUACUGGGCGUAAAGCGCGCGCAGGCGGCACUGUAAGUAAGGUGUGAAAUAUCCCUGCUCAACGGGGAGGGUGCACUUUAGACUGCAGAGCUAGAGGACGGUAGAGGGGGGUGGAAUUGCUGGUGUAGCGGUGAAAUGCGUAGAGAUCAGCAGGAACACCCGUGGCGAAGGCGGCCCCCUGGGCCGAACCUGACGCUGAGGCGCGAAGGCUAGGGGAGCGAACGG
This 422-nucleotide ribosomal RNA is filed under the name uncultured bacterium. RNAcentral's name for it is "bacterial SSU rRNA". It matches the Rfam family "Bacterial small subunit ribosomal RNA", at positions 355 to 775 of the family's 1533-position model. The record is from RNAcentral.